This is an RNA transcript of Solanum tuberosum (potato), 1530 nucleotides long. It is a transcript of the gene named SOSS complex subunit B homolog, with no coding region annotated. Lineage: Eukaryota; Viridiplantae; Streptophyta; Magnoliopsida; Solanales; Solanaceae. The transcript has 5 exons. The record is from RefSeq and is a predicted model, not a curated record.
GUGAAAUCCGUCCCUCUUGAGUCUCCGCCUCACGCUGCUCGCAACUCGGAGCAGGUCGCCGUCGCAGAAGCAGCAGUGCCGCACGUCGCAGCAGCGCUGCACAUCCAUUCUGCAUUCUCAAAGAUAUUGUAUCAUAUUGUCAAAGGAUGCAGUUUCUAAAAGACAUCGUACCUGCUGCAUUGAACAAUAUAAACACAAAAUUUAUUGUUUUGGACAAAGGGAUGAUAGGUUUGGAAGGGCAACACAAGACGUGUUUGGCACUAGUUGCAGAUGAGACAGCUGCGGUUCACUUUCAAAUGUGGGGUGAUGAAUGUGAUGUUUUUGAGCCUGGGGAUAUCAUCCGGUUAGAAAAUGGCAUCUUUUCUUAUAUUCGCAAUAACCGCAAUAACCAUGUAUUACGGGCAGGUAAGCGAGGCAAGGCAGAAAAAGUGGGAGAGUUUACCAUGGCCUAUGUGGAGAAACCAAACAUGAGUGAGAUACAUUGGGUCCCUGAUCCGAAGAAUCCUAAGAUAUAUUUGCCAGUGGAUUUUACUUCUCACAUUUCACCAACACAUUGAGUAUUGGGCAAACUUAUAUCUGACAGAUUCUUUGAAGGGUCUUAUGAUGCAGUAUACUGAUGAUUGUGGGGAUUGGUUCCUGUGGUUUGUAGAAAGUAAUGCCUCUAUUUCUCUAGUUGGAUUGACCUUAAACUCAUCUUGUGUGUGGUUGUUUGAUUAUUAUCAACUUCUCUGCUGCAAUGUGCAAACAGAUGAGAAAAAAAUCCUUAUAUUUAGGUAAAGUUUUCCUGUCUUGAUCAAGAAAAAAGUUUAAAAGUAUGGAUGAAGGGAGAAUAAAUACAUUAGGAGUGGGAAAGGAAACUUGGUUAAGGCAAUGGAAGGUUAGGCUGAUCACUCUAGUAACCGUUUACUAGAUGGCUUGUGCCCAUGUGCCUAAUAUUUCUGUACAAAGAAGAUCCGGCACUGAGAAUUAAGACUUGGAAGUAAUAUCAGCUUGAUCAUAACUACAGAGAGUAGAGAUUAACUACUCUUCAACAGAAAGCAGGCUGGAACAUCGGUUGAGUUGCUGCUUUCACUUUGAUGAGCUGAUUCCAUGACAAUUACAGCUUACAAAAGAAAUUUCACUCUUUCUAUGGCUUAUGAGCAGGAAUAAAGGAGGUGAAAAGGUUACUUUUGCGUAGCUGCAAAACAGUGUCAUCUUGAGGGAGUUGAAUGAAUUUCAAACUUGAGCUGAAAUUGGUUAAUGAUUGAAUAUAAGAAGGGAGCUUGUUGUCAUGAGGUGAUUGGAUAAUGAGAACUGUAAUGGACAUGUUUUUUUCUCUAGUUAUGAGAAGCUUUGCCAUUUCUACUGUGGACACUAAAUGGCCAAUUCCUGGACUAGGAAUGAAGAUCAACUCUAUUUUCUUGGUACUUGACAUUUUUUUUGGUACAAGCUUGUACUUUUGAUAUUGUUUGAAACUUAAAAGAGGAAAGUGGAUUUUGUGGAUAGGUGUGUAAUAUUGGUAUUGAUUAUAAUAACCCUUGUGAUUGGUUA